This is a long non-coding RNA of Coffea arabica (coffee), 615 nucleotides long. RefSeq lists it as uncharacterized. The record is from RefSeq and is a predicted model, not a curated record. NCBI's taxonomy places the organism in Eukaryota, Viridiplantae, Streptophyta, Magnoliopsida, Gentianales, Rubiaceae.
UAUGAUAAUUUUUUGUUAUGGAAUUUUUUUGUGAUUAUCUCAGGUUUAAAAAAACACAAGGAAGGCCACUGAAGGAGGAAUUACAGGUGCAAGUUUAAGGUUUGCUUUUUAUUAUCUGGUAUCUUCAAUCUCUACAGAACCCGCCAGGUAAAAAAAACACAAGGAAGGCCAUUGAAGGAGGAAUUACAGUUCUCUUUGUAAACUCUUUACCCUUUCUUCCAUAUUUUUCUUGCACGAUGAGGUGGAAUAGUUACAAGCUAUCAGAAUGUAUCUCUUCAAGAGGUGGAAACAUUCUCAAUUAUGAUAUUUUUGUAUCUGAGCACAAGAAUGUAUAGAAGGAAGAAAGAUGAUAGCACCUACCUUUCAUUUUUUUCUGUUCUAUAGAGAAUUCAACUCGGACAUAUAAUUGCUUGUACACUUGCUGUUCGGCUUGUAGUUUUGCUUGUUUCCUUUUUCUAGAGAUGUUAGUCUUGUUUUUGUUUUUUCAGUUUUUGGUUAUUUGUCAACCUUAUUGAUGGGUUGCAAGAUUUACUUUUCUUUUUUUUUUAUCAGCUCAGUAGUGGCAAGGAGAGUAAACUAAUUUGUUUUCUUAGGUAAUUUGUAGUUUGCCUUUUG